RNA transcript from Phymastichus coffea, 3920 nucleotides. RefSeq lists it as uncharacterized. The record is from RefSeq and is a predicted model, not a curated record. Lineage: Eukaryota; Metazoa; Arthropoda; Insecta; Hymenoptera; Eulophidae. The transcript is spliced from 14 exons.
AGGAGCGAGGACGUUAGCCGGGCAACGUCUACCUUUCAAACUACACGUAACUCGCGAGCUUGCGAGUGUUUCGUGAGCCUCUCCUCUUAUUUUCCGCUUUUUCUUUCUUUUUUGCCGAACAUUGCCUCUCCUGCAGGCGACAGAGUGUACGCCGAAGAAAAGUUUUUCAUGCAAGAACUUUCCACGUUUGUUUGGUUGCUUUUUCGAAGCUGGCAUGAACUUGUGAUUGCGCUUUCUUUUGCUGUACUCUCCGCACAACUUCUGCUCUGGCCAGGAAGUCGUAGACAGCUUUCCGGUAGAGUUAACGCGCCGUCGAGAGGCAAAUUGGCGCAAGCUGAGCUUUGUAAGCGUCCACGAGAGAGAGAGAGAGAGAGAUAGAGAGAGAAGACCGUGACCACAGGACAGCGACAGUCCAUUAACGACCAAUUGGAGGCUUGCGAGAACGCGUUUUUGACUGAGCUAGCAGGUGUCAACAAAUAAACCAGUUGCUGCUACUGCUGUUACUAUUGCUCUAGUCAUUCUGGCAAAAAUAUGUCAGUACUGGGCCGACAAGCGGCCCUGAAACGGAUCAGUCGCCACAGAUUUACCAAACGCAAUGAUUACCAAUCACCGGUCAAGCCGCACCGAGAGCCUAACGACAGCAACCAGUUUUUUCCAGCGGCAUGCUGUACGUCAUCUAGCCGGCAGAUCAGCUAUUCUAUACUUGUGAUAGGCCCGCGUCUCUUGGCAAUCUACUAACUCGCAAAACAAACAUCUCGCCUGACCACGAUAAAAAAAGAGAAAAGGCCAACGAGAACGAAAUUAAAAAGAACAAGGAUCACAAGUGGAAAGGACGGAGUCAACGAAAAGCGGAGAAGGCGAGCAUCGCCCGAAGCCAACUAUUAUGCAAAACAAUCGGAGCCUGUUGGACGAGGGCGCAAACCCUCUGAAGGACCUGACACACGCGAAUCUGAGCGAGCCACUAAAGCAGCACAAUGCCAAUGCCGUUAAGCUCGUGCAAACCGUAUCGGAGUUUGCGCAAUCGUUGGGUGGUGCUUUGGAGUGUCAUGGACAAAAUGUCAUUCGGCUGGUUGAUGAUUUUCGUGGACGUACAACCGACUCGAGAGGUGAUGCCGGCGGGAUGCGCCGCGUUUGGGACAGCCUGCUCAGGCAAGUGGAAGCUGAUGCUACCGCACAGCUUGACCUUGCAUCUUUGCUACAACAACAAUUGUCCAGACCUGCACUCGAAGGUUGCUUUCAUCGGAAAGUACAACACAGAAAGGUGUUCGGGCACCGCGAGGCGUUUGAGCAAGUGGUGGCAAAGUCGGAAGAAAAGCUGCAGCGCGCUCGCGCGGAGUACAAGCGCACCUACGGAGCGCUGUUGGUGACUCCAGAGCCGAGUCAAGACUCGGAGCUGAAGCGCGCCUACCUGGAGGCACACAAUGCUUUCGUGCUGCAAUUACGGGCCACCAACGCUAUCGCUGAGCGCUAUCAGUUCCACUGUCUGCCCAAUUUGCUCGGCGAGGUAGCCGAGGUCUACGAGGAGCUCUGCAAUCUCACCUGCAACUGCAUCUCCGGCAUAUCAGAGGCAGCUAAUGAGCGCAUUAACGAGCAGGCCAGAAGGUACCAAGCACUCGCCAAGGAAGUGCGAACAAUUAAUCCUCAGUCGGAUUUGCAGAUUUUAGCACGAAGCCUAUCGACAAUAGCACAGCCACGUAAACCAGCAAAACGGUUGUUCGUGCCACUGACGCCACCCGAACAGUCAAGCAGUGAUCGCAUAAACAGUGUGCCUGCUUUGAGGGACGAACUUGUACCCACUGGGAGCAAUAGUCUUUCCAUGAUCGAGGAGGAUCUCCAGGUUGAAGCUGAUAGACUCGCUCAGGAAAUCGCUCAUAUACAAGAUGCGCUUGACACUCUUAAUCGCAUGCAGCGAAAGAGUGCUGAAGGCAAUCUCCACACGAAGGUAGUCGAAUUACAAGAAGACAUUUCAAUUAAACGCUUCGAUUUAGGAGUAGCGCAAUUACAGUUAUCAGCUAUCCAUGCUCAAAAAGAGUUAUUUGGUGGCGGCAGCGCCGGAGCUGAAGCAGCAAUGCCCGACGGAAUUGGAAAUCGAAAAUUAUCAAAUGGUUCAACUGGUAGUAAUACAAAACAUAAAUGGUUAAAAGCUUUCAAAAGUCUGAAAACUACACCGACAACUCCUCCGCCUAAUGAGAAAGGAAAACAAGCAAUGUACCAUGCUGUUUCCUCCGUGGUCGCCAUGUCCAGGAAAAAUCUGGAAUCGGAGAGCGGCGGUCACCAGUGGCGCGAGUACACCUACCGCAAGAUAACGCCGUGCGAUGCCUGUGGCCAAGUGUUGCGCGGUCACGCUCGCCAGGGUUACCGAUGCCGAAACUGCAAGGCGAAUGCUCACGCCGACUGCAUGAGUUCGAUACAGCCGCCGAAUUGUCCAAGUCUGCAGUCCAAGCGCGGCGCUGGAAUACCCUUGUUGCGCAGGCAGAAAAGCACCGCGCCACCCGUCGAAGAGACAGCCACGACCGAUCAAAAUGUGGACGCCAUAUACCAGGUGCUGAAGCAGGCUGGCGAAAUACGUGGCAACUCGGCAAACUCACCACCUACGCCUCCUACGGCUGGUCAUCCUCCCCCCGGUGCAGCACCUUCGUCGUCAGCGAGGACAACUACCUCCUCCCAACCUUGUUCCUCGUCUACCUCUGCACCACACAGUCCGCAGCGUCGCCGAGAGCGGCUUAAUCUGCGCAUGAAAAGUUUGAGUCUGGACUCGCCGGAAGGCUCAGCUCACGUACGUCAUCGACCACGAGAUUACCCCGGUACAGGUCAACGCGAUUCGUCGACUCCGCCCCGACGAUCCGACAGUGGCAGUAUUAACCGAUUGUCGGCGCCAUGCAGUCCAGGUCAAAGCAUCCAUGGCAUUCACAAGCAACAUUUACGAGGCACUAUACGAAUGUCAAGUGUUGAAUUGCCUGAUGACAACGAAAAGUCGUACUCUUCUGCGAGCACUUCGCCUUGUCCUUCGCCUCAUAUGAACAAUCAAAAUCAUUCGAAUCCGGCUGGCAAACGUGUCCUACCGCCAAAUAAUCUUUACGUUGUUUUGUACAAUUUCGAAGCUCGACAUCGUGACGAGCUUGACCUUAAGUAAGUCAUAUUGAUAUUUUCAUUAUCAAUAAAUAUUGCGUGAUAUUUUUUGAGAUUUACACGUGUAGCAAAGAUGUAGGGCUGCUUACGUGUUAUAUAAUACUUCUGUAAAUAGCGAUACUUGUAUAGAAAGUAUUUUUUUUCUCGAUGUCUUUGUUGUACUUCUAUAUAUAAAUCUUAUAAGAUUAUACAUUCGAAUGGUAUUAAACAGACAAGUUUUCAAAUUUCCGCCCGUAAUAUUCUUGAAAGAGACUUAAGCAGAGUUUAGGCGAGUUAUCGUUUCUAUUAUUUGUUCGGUGCUACUGUAGAUAUUCACAAGGUUUAUAAGUGUUAGACUGUAAGACUAUAUUUAAUUUUCUUCAAUAAAUUUGAACUUGAAAUAAAAUACAAUUUGUCUAAUUUUUGAAGCUAUAUAAACAAUCAUUAACAAAUGAUUAUACCAUUUUCGUCCUAACAAUCGUUUAAUUUUCUCUAGCUUGUUUGAAAUAAUAGGCGGAGCAAAUAUAUGAUUUCAAAUAUUCUAAUAUAUUAUCAGUGAAAAAUCAAUACGAAGUACAUUAAGACUAUUCUCUCUCUAUUCUAUUUUAUUCUAUUCUAUUUACGACUGUUUCGAAAUAUUUAAUAAUUAUUGACGUUUAAUUAUUUAAGUUUACUGCUAAUUAUUAAACAAAAAUACAUUGAUUGAGAAUAGUAGAACUAAUACAAUAGAGCCGGCUAUAAAGUAACUGUUAUAGACAAAUCCGACAAAGAUUGGUGGAAAGGAAAAUGUUUAGGUGGACGGGCGGGUUUUU